GGUGAGAUGGCCGAGUGGUCUAAGGCGCUAGAUUUAGGUUGACCUCUUGUGAACCAUCUCUAGUCAUUCGUGGCGUGGGUUCAAAACCCACUCUCAUCA
Molecule: non-coding RNA, 99 nt
Organism: Rhodocollybia butyracea
Lineage: Eukaryota; Fungi; Basidiomycota; Agaricomycetes; Agaricales; Omphalotaceae
Source: the annotation of a GenBank genome assembly